CUGCUGUGACCAGAAGGCAGCAGAGACAGGUCCUUUUCAGAUCUAACCGUGUGAACUAGUCACCAGGGGGUCUCACUGUGAGCAGAGCUGGAGUCAGGAGAUCUGGGCCAGGCUGACAUAACCAGCCCCAAGGUGAGUGGGGCCUGACAGCCUGCAUCUCUCACAGCCCCUGGUGGGCGGAGCCCGAGGACCCCCAUCUCUCCAGCCCCAGGUGGGCGGGAGCAGGCCCUCUCCCCGAGGCCAGGCACCAGCGGUGCCGCACAACGGACA
Molecule: non-coding RNA, 270 nt
Organism: Vicugna pacos (alpaca)
Lineage: Eukaryota; Metazoa; Chordata; Mammalia; Artiodactyla; Camelidae
Source: RefSeq, a predicted model, not a curated record